CCUACGGGGGGCAGCAGUGGGGAAUAUUGGACAAUGGGGGAAACCCUGAUCCAGCGACGCCGCGUGAGUGAAGAAGUAUUUCGGUACGUAAAGCUCUAUUAGCAGGAAAGAAAAUGACGGUACCUGACUAAGAAGCCCCGGCUAACUACGUGCCAGCAGCCGCGGUAAUACGUAGGGGGCAAGCGUUAUCCGGAUUUACUGGGUGUAAAGGGAGCGUAGACGGCAGCGCAAGUCUGGAGUGAAAUGCCGGGGCGCAACCCCGGAACUGCUCUGGAAACUGUGAAGCUGGAGUGCAGGAGAGGUAAGCGGAAUUCCUGGUGUAGCGGUGAAAUGCGUAGAUAUCAGGAGGAACACCGGCGGCGAAGGCGGCUUACUGGACUGUAACUGACGUUGAGGCUCGAAGGCGUGGGGAGCGAACAGGAUUAGAUACCCCUGUAGUC
This 440-nucleotide ribosomal RNA is filed under the name uncultured bacterium. RNAcentral's name for it is "partial 16S ribosomal RNA". It matches the Rfam family "Bacterial small subunit ribosomal RNA", at positions 338 to 795 of the family's 1533-position model. The record is from RNAcentral.